GGAUGAUAAUUAAAAGAAUGGCUGGCGGCAGGCUGAGGCAUGGGCUGGGUGAAAGAGGACUCUGCUAGUGGUCUUAAAGGUGACCCUUUAAGAAAGCUGAGGGCAUUCUAUUCGAGAUGCCCUCUUUUGUAGAACGAGCCACAAUAGCUCGAGAUCACCAAGACUGGAGGUCAGCAAAGGUCAGUGAAGUUGGGCUGGAGCUCCUUUGAAUGCUCUGUCAGACACACCGAGGACAGAGUAACACCAGGCUGCUUUAUUACUGCUGGACACUUCUAUCAUUUGGGAUUGGGAAAGGACUGCUCAGCCAGAACAGAGUAUAGUAUGCGAUCGCUGCUGAAGAUAAGACACUUUGGCUGUCGACUUACACAGACACCAAAACUCGUUCUUUCUUUUUUCUUGCUCUGCUUCUCUCUCUAUCUGUCUAUAUCUGCCUCUGUACAAAGCUAUAUUGUGUUCCAUUACUGCCUCUAAUCACUGCUCCCAGUGACACACAGUUUUACAGUGACUGCUAGGGACGUCUGAUUCUUCUCAUUCUGUCACUCCUUUUCUCCAUGCUGUUGGCUCCUGUGCUAUGAAUAGUAGCUUUAAUUUGGCCAUCGUCAGUCCAGUACCAAAUCCACUGUCUCCCUCUCAGGUGAAACAGUAAGGAUAAGGCAUAACACACUAAAGCACCCGGCAUAUCUGACAUGCCUAUGUGACACUAUGGUCAUCGCCGAUGUCUGAUGAGCAAAAUCACUUCUUUUUCUAAUAUUUGCACCAGAGAUUUGCACCAAACUUCAGUGUAGAAAGAUAUAAAAAAAUUUUUAUUUUCGGGUGCUUCUAAAGCAUACAAGAUGUGGUAGUUCUUUAUGUUCCUCUCUGGAUAUAGUCAGCCAUUUUUUUCUACUUUAGAAUACUAACUCCAACCACUUCAGAUAACUGUUAUGUCCAAUUUCUAGCCUAGGAAAUCAAUCCAGAUGGCAGGUUUUUUUUAGAGCUAUAUGUCAGCAUAGACGGUGAAAGGCUUUUAUGUGGUGAAAGCAGUUAAAUAUGGUAUAGAAGUUUAUUAUUGCACGAGCCCAGUUGCCGGCAGUGUGACAAUACAGCCACAUCAACUCUGUUUGUCCAAAGAAAGAGCUCCCAGAAGAAUCUCUGAGACACACGCUCAACAAUCCUACUGAAACUUGAAGGAGCAAUGUGAUCAUCGAGGGAACAAGUGAGAGAUAGAGAAAGAGAUGUAAAAGACUGGCUUGUGUGUGACCUUAGCUGCAGAGGAAGAAGCGUGAUGAGUGUAUACGAAUUUCACACAGAAGAUCCAUUACUCACAGCUCUCUUCUGCAAUAGGUUUAUACUGUCAUCCUAGCUCUACAUUUUACACACAUACACACCUACACAUAUACACUUGCAUAUACUAUAUACUGAGAGUUUGUAAUGGCACAAUGUGCACUGCGCUCCUAUUGCAAUAUACAGAAAACCAGUUCCCCUCAUUUAUUGCUGGUCCC
This is a long non-coding RNA of Ictalurus punctatus (channel catfish), 1481 nucleotides long. Lineage: Eukaryota; Metazoa; Chordata; Actinopteri; Siluriformes; Ictaluridae. The record is from Ensembl.